RNAcentral lists this transfer RNA (87 nucleotides) under Candidatus Saccharimonadota bacterium. RNAcentral's name for it is "tRNA-Tyr". It matches the Rfam family "tRNA". From Rfam's summary of the family: Transfer RNA (tRNA) molecules are approximately 80 nucleotides in length. Their secondary structure includes four short double-helical elements and three loops (D, anti-codon, and T loops). Further hydrogen bonds mediate the characteristic L-shaped molecular structure. tRNAs have two regions of fundamental functional importance: the anti-codon, which is responsible for specific mRNA codon recognition, and the 3' end, to which the tRNAs corresponding amino acid is attached (by aminoacyl-tRNA synthetases). tRNAs cope with the degeneracy of the genetic code in two manners: having more than one tRNA (with a specific anti-codon) for a particular amino acid; and 'wobble' base-pairing, i.e. permitting non-standard base-pairing at the 3rd anti-codon position. The record is from RNAcentral. Lineage: Bacteria; Candidatus Saccharimonadota.
GCAGGGGUAGCGAAGCGGUCAAACGCAACAGACUGUAAAUCUGUCGGCUCUAUGCCUUCGGGGGUUCGAAUCCCUCCCCCUGCACCA